AGCAGCCGCGGUAAUUCCAGCUCCAAUAGCGUAUAUUAAAGUUGUUGCAGUUAAAAAGCUCGUAGUUGAAUUUCGGGACCAAUCUGCCGGUCGUGCCUUCGGUACGCACUGGUUUUAUUGGUCUCUCCCUUCUGGCGAACCAUGAUGUCAUUAAUUUGGUGUCAUGGGGAAUCAGGACUGUUACUUUGAAAAAAUUAGAGUGUUUAUAGCAGGCUCACGCUUGAAUACAUUAGCAUGGAAUAAUGAAAUAGGACGUUUGACCCUAUUUUGUUGGUUUCUAGGAUCGACGUAAUGAUUAAUAGGGAUAGUUGGGGGCAUUAGUAUUCAAUUGUCAGAGGUGAAAUUCUUGGAUUUAUUGAAGACUAACUACUGCGAAAGCAUUUGCCAAGGAUGUUUUCAUUAAUCAAGAACGAAAGUUAGGGGAUCGAAGACGAUCAGAUACCGUCGUAGUCUUAACCAUAAACUAUGCCGACUAGGGAUCGGAUGAUGUUAAUUUUUUAAUGACUCAUUCGGCGCCUUA
This 520-nucleotide ribosomal RNA is filed under the name uncultured Glomus. RNAcentral's name for it is "SSU rRNA". It matches the Rfam family "Eukaryotic small subunit ribosomal RNA", at positions 569 to 1090 of the family's 1831-position model. Lineage: Eukaryota; Fungi; Glomeromycota; Glomeromycetes; Glomerales; Glomeraceae. The record is from RNAcentral.